AACGCUGGCGGCGUGCCUAACACAUGCAAGUCGAACGGAGUUGAGCCCUUCGGGACUUAACUUAGUGGCGAACGGGUGAGUAACGCGUGAGGAACCUGCCUUUCAGUGGGGGACAACAGUUGGAAACGACUGCUAAUACCGCAUAAUACUUUCGAGCGGCAUCGUUUGAAAGUCAAAGAUUUAUUGCUGAAAGAUGGCCUCGCGUCUGAUUAGCUAGUUGGUGGGGUAACGGCUCACCAAGGCGACGAUCAGUAGCCGGUCUGAGAGGAUGAACGGCCACAUUGGGACUGAGAUACGGCCCAGACUCCUACGGGAGGCAGCAGUGGGGAAUAUUGGGCAAUGGGGGAAACCCUGACCCAGCAACGCCGCGUGAAGGAAGAAGGCCUUCGGGUUGUAAACUUCUUUUACCAGGGACGAAAAAAGUGACGGUACCUGGAGAAAAAGCAACGGCUAACUACGUG
This 461-nucleotide ribosomal RNA is filed under the name uncultured bacterium. Its description in RNAcentral is "bacterial SSU rRNA". It matches the Rfam family "Bacterial small subunit ribosomal RNA", at positions 32 to 507 of the family's 1533-position model. The record is from RNAcentral.